UGGCUAACUCCUACGGGAGGCAGCAGUAGGGAAUCUUCCGCAAUGGACGCAAGUCUGACGGAGCAACGCCGCGUGAGUGAUGAAGGGUUUCGGCUCGUAAAACUCUGUUGUUAAGGAAGAACACCUGAGGUAGUAACUGGCCUUGAGGUGACGGUACUUAACCAGAAAGCCACGGCUAACUACGUGCCAGCAGCCGCGGUAAUACGUAGGUGGCAAGCGUUAUCCGGAAUUAUUGGCCGUAAAGCGCGCGUAGGCGGUAAAAUAAGUCUGAUGUGAAAGCCCCCGGCUCAACCGGGGAGGGUCAUUGGAAACUGUUUUACUUGAGUACAGAAGAGGAGAGUGGAAUUCCAUGUGUAGCGGUGAAAUGCGCAGAGAUAUGGAGGAACACCAGUGGCGAAGGCGGCUCUCUGGUCUGUAACUGACGCUGAGGUGCGAAAGCGAGGGGAUCAAACAGGAUUAGAUACCCCUGUAGUCCAGCUGG
RNAcentral lists this ribosomal RNA (481 nucleotides) under uncultured bacterium. RNAcentral's name for it is "bacterial SSU rRNA". It matches the Rfam family "Bacterial small subunit ribosomal RNA", at positions 329 to 803 of the family's 1533-position model. The record is from RNAcentral.